GCGAACGGGUGAGUAACACGUGGGCAACCUGCCCAAAAGAGGGGGAUAACACUUGGAAACAGGUGCUAAUACCGCAUAACCAUAGUUACCGCAUGGUAACUAUGUAAAAGGUGGCUAUACUACCGUUUUUGGAUGGGCCCGCGGCGCAUUAGCUAGUUGGUAGGGUAAAGGCUUACCAAGGCAAUGAUGCGUAGCCGAAUUGAGAGGUUGAUCGGCCACAUUGGGACUGAGACACGGCUCAAACUCCUACGGGAGGCAGCAGUAGGGAAUCUUCCACAAUGGGCGAAAGCCCGAUGGAGCAACGCCGCGUGGGUGAAGAAGGUCUUCGGAUCGUAAAACCCUGUUGUUAGAGAAGAAAGUGCGUGAGAGUAACUGUUCACGUUUCGACGGUAUCUAACCAGAAAGCCACGGCUAACUACGUGCCAGCAGCCGCGGUAAUACGUAGGUGGCAAGCGUUAUCCGGAUUUAUUGGGCGUAAAGGGAACGCAGGCGGUCUUUUAAGUCUGAUGUGAAAGCCUUCGGCUUAACCGGAGUAGUGCAUUGGAAACUGGGAGACUUGAGUGCAGAAGAGGAGAGUGGAACUCCAUGUGUAGCGGUGAAAUGCGUAGAUAUAUGGAAGAACACCAGUGGCGAAAGCGGCUCUCUGGUCUGUAACUGACGCUGAGGUUCGAAAGCGUGGGUAGCAAACAGGAUUAGAUACCCUGGUAGUCCACGCCGUAAACGAUGAAUGC
This 731-nucleotide ribosomal RNA is filed under the name uncultured bacterium. RNAcentral describes it as "bacterial SSU rRNA". It matches the Rfam family "Bacterial small subunit ribosomal RNA", at positions 98 to 816 of the family's 1533-position model. The record is from RNAcentral.